UACAGAGGGGGCUAGCGUUGUUCGGAUUUACUGGGCGUAAAGCGCACGUAGGCGGAUCGAUCAGUCAGGGGUGAAAUCCCAGAGCUCAACUCUGGAACUGCCUUUGAUACUGUCGAUCUGGAGUAUGGAAGAGGUGAGUGGAAUUCCGAGUGUAGAGGUGAAAUUCGUAGAUAUUCGGAGGAACACCAGUGGCGAAGGCGGCUCACUGGUCCAUUACUGACGCUGAGGUGCGAAAGCGUGGGGAGCAAACAGG
Molecule: ribosomal RNA, 253 nt
Filed under: uncultured bacterium
Lineage: Bacteria
Description: partial 16S ribosomal RNA
Rfam family: Bacterial small subunit ribosomal RNA
Source: RNAcentral